AUUGAACGCCGGCGGCAUGCCUUACACAUGCAAGUCGAACGGCAGCGCGGACUUCGGUCUGGCGGCGAGUGGCGAACGGGUGAGUAAUACAUCGGAACGUACCCUGUUGUGGGGGAUAACUAGUCGAAAGAUUAGCUAAUACCGCAUACGACCUGAGGGUGAAAGUGGGGGACCGCAAGGCCUCACGCAGCAGGAGCGGCCGAUGUCUGAUUAGCUAGUUGGUGGGGUAAAGGCCCACCAAGGCGACGAUCAGUAGCUGGUCUGAGAGGACGAUCAGCCACACUGGGACUGAGACAGGGCCCAGACUCCUACGGGAGGCAGCAGUGGGGGAUUUUGGACAAUGGGGGCAACCCUGAUCCAGCAAUGCCGAGUGUGUGAAGAAGGCCUUCGGGUUGUAAAGCACUUUUGUCCGGAAAGAAAUCGCGCUGGUUAAUACCUGGCGUGGAUGACGGUACCGGAAGAAUAAGCACCGGCUAACUACGUGCCAGCAGCCGCCGUAA
Molecule: ribosomal RNA, 500 nt
Filed under: uncultured bacterium
Lineage: Bacteria
Description: partial 16S ribosomal RNA
Rfam family: Bacterial small subunit ribosomal RNA
Source: RNAcentral